CCUACGGGAGGCAGCAGUGAGGAAUAUUGGGCAAUGGGCGAAAGCCUGACCCAGCAACGCCGCGUGAGGGAUGAAGGCCUUCGGGUUGUAAACCUCUUUUCUGGGAGAAGAGACAAGGACGGUAUCCCAGGAAUAAGUCUCGGCUAACUACGUGCCAGCAGCCGCGGUAAUACGUAGGAGGCUAGCGUUAUCCGGAUUCACUGGGCGUAAAGCGCACGCAGGCGGUCAUGUAAGUCAGACGUGAAAGCUCCUGGCUCAACUGGGAGAGGUCGUUUGAUACUGCAUGGCUUGAGGUUGGGAGAGGGAAGCGGAAUUCCCGGUGUAGUGGUGGAAUGCGUAGAUAUCGGGAGGAACACCAGUGGCGAAGGCGGCUUCCUGGCCUGCUCCUGACGCUAAGAGGCGAAAGCUAGGGGAGCGAACGGGAUUAGAAACCCCGGUAGUCCUAGCUGUAAACGAUGCUGACUAGGUGUCGGCGAUUAAAAACCGUCGGUGCCGUAGCUAACGCGUUAAGUCAGCCGCCUGGGGACUACGGCCGCAAGGCUAAAACUUAAAGGAAUUGACGG
This 563-nucleotide ribosomal RNA is filed under the name uncultured bacterium. RNAcentral describes it as "bacterial SSU rRNA". It matches the Rfam family "Bacterial small subunit ribosomal RNA", at positions 338 to 916 of the family's 1533-position model. The record is from RNAcentral.